RNAcentral lists this ribosomal RNA (408 nucleotides) under Fusobacteriota bacterium. Its description in RNAcentral is "Fusobacteria bacterium partial 16S ribosomal RNA". It matches the Rfam family "Bacterial small subunit ribosomal RNA", at positions 355 to 776 of the family's 1533-position model. Lineage: Bacteria; Fusobacteriati; Fusobacteriota. The record is from RNAcentral.
UGGGGAAUAUUGCACAAUGGACGGAAGUCUGAUGCAGCAACGCCGCGUGCGGGAUGACGGCCUUCGGGUUGUAAACCGCUUUUUCUCAUGACGAAGUUUUUUGACGGUAGUGGGGGAAGAAGCACCGGCUAACUACGUGCCAGCAGCCGCGGUGAUACGUAGGGUGCGAGCGUUGUCCGGAAUUAUUGGGCGUAAAGAGCUUGUAGGCGGUUUGUCGCGUCGAUAGUGCAAACUCAGUGCUUAACGCUGAGCCUGCUGUUGAUACGGGCAGACUAGAGGAAGGUAGGGGAGAAUGGAAUUCCCGGUGGAGCGGUGGACUGCGCAGAUAUCGGGAGGAACACCGGUGGCGAAGGCGGUUCUCUGGGCCUUUCCUGACGCUGAGAAGCGAAAGCGUGGGGAGCGAACAGG